AGAGUUUGAUCAUGGCUCAGAUUGAACGCUGGCGGCAUGCCUAACACAUGCAAGUCGAACGGGGGCAGCAAUGCCCUAGUGGCGGACGGGUGAGGAAUACGUAGGAACCGGCCCACGAGUGGGGGACAACCUGGGGAAACCCAGGCUAAUACCGCAUACGCUCGCGAGAGGAAAGCGGGUGACCUUCGGGCCUCGCGCUGGUGGACGGGCCUACGUCCGAUUAGCUUGUUGGUGGGGUAAAAGCCUACCAAGGCGACGAUCGGUAGCUGGUCUGAGAGGAUGAUCAGCCACACUGGGACUGAGACACGGCCCAGACUCCUACGGGAGGCAGCAGUGGGGAAUAUUGGACAAUGGGCGCAAGCCUGAUCCAGCAAUGCCGCGUGGGUGAAGAAGGCCUGCGGGUUGUAAAGCCCUUUCAAUGGGGAGGAAAACCUGCCGGUCAAUACCCGGUAGCUUGACAUUACCUAUAGAAGAAGCACCGGCUAACUCCGUG
RNAcentral lists this ribosomal RNA (493 nucleotides) under uncultured bacterium. RNAcentral describes it as "bacterial SSU rRNA". It matches the Rfam family "Bacterial small subunit ribosomal RNA", at positions 8 to 507 of the family's 1533-position model. The record is from RNAcentral.